UACGGAGGGUGCAAGCGUUGUUCGGAUUUAUUGGGCGUAAAGAGCGUGUAGGCGGCCAAGCAGGUCCGCUGUGAAAACUCGAGGCUCAACCUCGAGACGUCGGUGGAAACCGUUUGGCUAGAGUCCGGAAGAGGAGAGUGGAAUUCCCGGUGUAGCGGUGAAAUGCGCAGAUAUCGGGAAGAACACCCGUGGCGAAGGCGGCUCUCUGGGACGGUACUGACGCUGAGACGCGAAAGCGUGGGGAGCGAACAGG
Molecule: ribosomal RNA, 253 nt
Filed under: uncultured bacterium
Lineage: Bacteria
Description: partial 16S ribosomal RNA
Rfam family: Bacterial small subunit ribosomal RNA
Source: RNAcentral